CGCGAGCAAGGCUCACCAUGUCCCGGGAGAGCUGGCAUGUGAGACUGCAGGCGUACUUCUCGAUGUCUCUUUCUUGAUGAACACUCUACAGGUGGGAUUUCUCCACUACAGGCUGCUGCCUGUCCCUAGAAUAGGACACUGCUCAAGUUUGCUCUAUACAGUGCUCUAUUUUGGCUGUGUUGUGAUGGGAGUAGGCUAUAGAAGACUGCACAGGGCACAUAACCUACAAAGGAUACUCAAAUAAAUGGCUUGGGAAGGUAAAACAGAUGAGGAGCUCUAGACAAGCUUGACAGUGUUUUCCAGAGGAUAGGAAAAGGGCUACAACCAUGAGUCCCUGUCCAGAUGCCAGGGAGGGGAGACCCACAGGGCCAGGAAGAGCUGGCAGGCUGCCUUCCCUCCUGCCCCUUCCCAAGGCAGGGCAGGAUACACCCAGCUGCCACUCACAGAGCAAUAGCAAUGCCCAUGCACAUGCAAUACAAGGACAACAGCAGCUCCACCUUGUCUUCAGUUCUUCAGUGAAGAAAUUAAAAGAUGCUGGAUGCUGAGCAGUGGCAGUGGCUGUGCUCACCAGACUGCUUUCAAGGUCAGUUUGGCUCAGUACCAGAUGUGACCCAGGAGCUCCUGGAUAUUGUAGCACUGUGCUGUUACACCUACACCUUAAAAAAAGCAUCUGCAGACACUUGCAAAAUAGCGAGGAGGAAAGCCACAAAAAGGAAAAUGGAGUCUCACCUUCAACAGACUCCUACAGGAGGCCUUACACAGGCGAGGGAACAGUCCUGUAGCAGCCUACAGCAGGGGCAGAUGGUUCUGGGGCCAAGGGAAUCCUCCUCACUGUGUGAGGGCAUUGCCUGUGCCACACACUGCACCAGGAGAACGGGAUCGCUACAACAGCCAGACCAUGUAGUCACAAAGGAGUCUGCCCUUGGCGUCCCAAGGAGCCCUUAAGAUGCUAACUCAUAAGAUGAGAAUAUAGACAAACACACUUCACCCUGAACUUGAAACUUGGCUCAGAUGUACGCGUUUUUGUUAGGACUUGUUUUGUUUGGGUUGGUUUUGCUUUUCUCCUUUAGCAAGCAUCGUCUGUUCUGUGUGCUGGGCCGGUGCAGGAUCGCAAGCAGGGCUAUUUUAACAAAUGUUGUUUAACCAGAAGUAGAAAUGAUUGACUCCCAUCUGUAGCCAUCCUAUACCCGUCAGCAGUUCUGGAGAUUGCUUUUGGAGUGCAGUCAGCAAUGUACCACCGCCGGUGACCAACAGAAUCACCAGUCAGUUCAGAUGUCUCUGCAGGGGCCAAGGGAGCUGUCACAGACCCGUGCUUUCAGGGCAGCCCGUUGGCUCUCAGAAAUGAAAACAAAACAAAAUUGUAUUUGCCUGCCAGCAUCUUAUCUCAGAGCAGAGAUUGCUUUUCCCUCCUGGGAUCCCAGAUCUUCGUUUUUGUGUAAGAGAAAGCAAACCCCUCUAAGCAUUUCCUUCACUGCCACACUCACAAAAGAAGCCCUUGCAGAUGUUUAAAAACCCGAGCCAUAAUGGAUCUGUCUUUUCUCCUCGCCCAUCAGAGCUGCAGUGCUGUCGCUGCAGGGGCACACACCCUCACCGGGUACACGAGGUCAGGUGGGGCCGCAUCCCCAGCGCUGCUGGGACCUUGGAGCAUGGCUGUGGAGCUGCACGGAGCUUCAGCACACAGCCGGCUCACUGGGCAGGCCUCGGGAUGGGACAGGGCAGUUAUUUGGCCUCUCAGACUAAAAUCCAGAUAAGAUAUUUCUUCUGUGUAUGGAAAAAAGUCUCCACAAGUCACAGAAUCAUAGAAUGGCCUGGGUUGAAAAGGACCGCAAUGAUCAUCUAGUUUCAACCCCCCUGCCACGGGCAGGGCUAUCCUGGGGGUGUUUCCCAGGCAGAAAUCUGGCAAAUAAAGCAGGGCUAUGCUGAGAAAUCCAGGAAGGAUAGCUCAGCUCAUCUUGUGCCUACUGGAAAACUGAAUGAAAUGCUCCGCAUGCGUAUCAUGUCCUGAGGGCUGAACGCUUGUGAAACGUUGUUAAAAUUAGAAGGGAAAAGAGCAGCAUAUUUAGAGAGUUGCCACUCUGUUAUCUCAUAAAAACCUGGUAGCCCUCCUCAUUUUGUAACCAGGCCAAUAUGUUUUAAGAGAAUGGAGGAUGUGAGGUCAACAUGUGACAGUGGAGUCACAGAUUUUAAUUCCAAUAUCUGUUCUGGUGCCAAGACGUGACCUGGACAAGCCAGCACCAGAUACAGAUUACAUGAAGAUUAAUUGGACUUUCCCACCCAGUUUCAACAGAAAGGGGCAGCCAGGGUGGCAGAUGCAAACAUCAACCUACACAAUCACUAACCCACACACUCCCAGGAUUCACACUAGAGCAUUAAGGGUUUCACUUGCAAAACCCCUGCUGCAGUCGGUUCGUGUAUACAAAUGCAGACCGUGUUCACAAAUAAGCACGUACACCUGCAUGCCAGGGUAAUGCCCUUUACACUGAGGGUGCGGGUCCAUGCCUGCAUGGGGCAUGAACCAAUAAAUCAUCUUGAAAACUUCAUAAGCAUCAGUUAAACGAUAAGAUUGGUCACACUCCUUUUAUAUUAGGGUUGCAAGGAAAAGCCAUGCAACAGGCUUAGUCUCUUGAAAUGGAACGUAAUCCAGCACUGUUAUGCAGGCACCCUGGCUGGCUCUGACUAAUGCCACAACAAACCAGAAGACACGAGCUGUGGGCUCAGGCUCUCAGCCAGCACAGACCCACUUCUGCUGAAACCAUAGCAGACACAAUGACUCACGUAAGGCUGAGGAUCUGCCCCAUGUGUCUAGCAUGUGCUGAAAAAUGUGCAGCUGGCUUAGCUUCAAAGCUACCCCCAGUCUUAAACAGCAACUCAAUCAGAGACUACUUGUUGCUAGUGUAAAUGGAUUUAUUUUGAUACAGAAUUGUAAAUUCAGUGCCUGGUACUAACUGGUACCAUGUUUGUCUCCAAAGAUGUUAUCAGGUGAGAGACAAAAAACGGAAACCAAACAAAAAGUCCAAAGGCUAUUCCAUUAACAUGGCUUACUUAUUCUCCUCAAUCUUGGAAGUGCAUGUUUUGCAGUAAUUUACAGGAGUUAACUUCUGGGAGGAAGCGUAGCCUGCUGGCAGAAACCAGAUGUUUUCAUUAGCUCACCACUAGGUGAACCAAAACAGCCACCACCCUCAUUAGCAGGCAGAUUAGCACCAGGGAGAGUCAGCCUGCAACAAUAAAAUCAACACAAGCAACACAAGUUGCACUUACCCGGAGAGCAACUACACCCUGUGCAGUGGUGGGUCAGUCUGCAGCAUAAGCCCUGGGCUCUCUGCAGACGUCUGAAAUCCAUCCCACAUCAAUAUGCUUGCCACGGAUCCAUCACCUCUCAGCUCUGGGGGCAUGCAUUCCUCUCCUAGACUCAGCCUUCUCCUCCUUGUUACCUGGAUACCCACUCACAUUCAACAUUACUUGGAGGGGAGUUCCACACUGACACACUUGCCAUACAGAAACCUGCCGUUAGCCCAUUAGCUCAAAUGCUAUUUAGAUGAUAGCAGCAUAAGCAAUGAAUACAGGAAGGUCACAAGAUGCAGAGACCAUCACCUUCAUUUUGGGCAUGCUGCAGUAAGCGAAAUCUCCAUCAUAACCACAAAUCUAUUGGUCAUUUGUGUGACAUGAAGGGCAGUGGAUAAAUGAAGCGCUAAUAUAAUAUUCAUAUUGGCCUCCAAGGGGGAAGGGAGUUACAGAACUGAUUAUCUUCUCACAGCUCAGGUUUCCACAUGAUGCCUGCCACCAUCUUUUUCCCAGAGCCUCAUUUCACUGGAGCUGUUGGUCCCUCAGUGUUACGCAGCUACACACAGAGAAAGAUAACUUUGGCUCUUCCAUUACACUGAGUGUGUUCUGGAUGGAGAUACUUGAAGAGGAAAAGAGAACAACAGAAAUGCAUCUCUGUCCAUUAAGAGGAAUUAGUAUACGUACAGGCUUCUGAACUGGACCCAUAACCUUAGUACACCAAGCACACUUGGAACAACAGCCGCGUGCGGCUUGAGCGAUACACUCGAGUUAAUGAAGCCUUUAAUCUACAGCACCGCCUGCAGCAGCCAUCAGCUCUGGCUGCUUAAUGCAGCCACACUGGGACUGCAAAAAGCAGGAGAGAAGUCUGCACUUUGUAGCUCCGCUUUCACUACAACAGCAAAGGAUGAUAAUGGCAUCGCAAGAAUGCCCAAGUUCAGCCUUAAAAAACAAAAAAAUCACGGUGCAGUACUACACCUGGACCCUUAUUGCCUAAAUCAGCACAGGUCGUCGGGCCAAAGCUUUAAGGCUCCUCCCGAAAGGAGUGACUGACAUAAAUGUUGCUAAGAUCCUGCUAAGCUUACCUGAGGUGAUGCCUCCCUCCCUUAUUUCACUAAGUUCAGAGAUCUCAUCUAUAACUCAUUCAGAUUGGCUUGGUUUUUAUUACAAGUGCCGUAUUUUCACAACAGUCUGCGUGGUAUGUAAAUGUGCAUGUUUACAGGCCUUCUGUGUAAUAAAAUUCCAGUUUAUGACAUAUUUAAGUAACUGGAAAAAUUAUAACGAAAGCAACAACGCUGGGUAUAAGCAAAGAGAACAAUUAAAAUAAACCUCUCUACCAUUACAGUUAGUUCCUAGAUGGCUGCUAACACUUCAUUUCUUAAUGCAAAAUUAACACAUCCUCUACUUAAAAAGUUCAAGGCAGAAUCUAGCCUUCUCAGUUUGAGGAUCGUGGAGCCUACUUUCCAAUAGCAAACCUUUAAAAGCUUUUAGACUACGUUUAGACCUACUGCUGCUGCAAUUGUGCAGAGCACACAGAGUCCUUAGGCAGCGUGGUUUGUGUCAGGUUUCUAUAUUCAACUGGAUCAGAUAUCCACCCCAUACCCAGCCGUACCCUAUAGUUGUUACUUUCAUAUCGUACAUUCCUCUCUUUUUCUUAGCCCAGUUUUUGUAAAUGACUUUCUUGUUCCCGGACAGUGACUCCCUGCUCCUACCCAAGGGUGAUGAAGGCUGUUCCCAGCAGGGCACCUUGCAGGAGAAGGCACCAAGGCCUCGACUUGCUUGAUGCAGCCAAAGCAACACCUUCUUCUCCAGUCCAGCAGUCUCCAUCUAAAGAUGCAAAAUAAACAGAAGCUUUCCUCCAAGGUGACUUCCAACCAGAGCAAGCGCUGCUCACCAGCUGGAGCAGGACCGGCAGACACACAUUUUCACUGCCACAGCCCAACUCUGUCCAAGUCUGGACUCCAGCACCACCAGGACCCUGGAACGUUACCCCGCAGAGUACCUGGCACAAUACAUUAAAAGGUGUUUGGGCCACAGACUUCUUUAUUUGUGGGCACACUCCCCUUCGGCACAUCUGCAUUGUGCAGCACCAGAGACGCCAGCUCUGCACAAUGCUGCGGACAUGCCAAACCCCCAGGGCCAUGAUGCACACCUGGCAGCCAGCACUAACAAGCAGUCCUACACAACGUAUCUCCCAGCCUCCUCUCCGGGGUUCAUACCUCCAUGCAUGGUUUCUUCCAGCUGUCGGCUGUGCAGCAGACCUGGAAUUCAGUGUUUUAAUUAAACCAUCACGUUUCUCGCAA
Molecule: long non-coding RNA, 5582 nt
Organism: Gallus gallus (chicken)
Lineage: Eukaryota; Metazoa; Chordata; Aves; Galliformes; Phasianidae
Exons: 2
Source: RefSeq, a predicted model, not a curated record